CAGUCGCCGCGGUAAUACGUAGGGUGCAAGCGUUAAUCGGAAUUACUGGGCGUAAAGCGUGCGCAGGCGGUUUGUUAAGACAGAUGUGAAAUCCCCGGGCUUAACCUGGGAACUGCAUUUGUGACUGGCAAGCUAGAGUCUGGCAGAGGGGGGUGGAAUUCCGCGUGUAGCAGUGAAAUGCGUAGAUAUGCGGAGGAACACCGAUGGCGAAGGCAGCCCCCUGGGCCAACACUGACGCUCAUGCACGAAAGCGUGGGGAGCAAACAGGAUUAGAUACCCGUGUAGUCCCUGUCUCUUAUAC
RNAcentral lists this ribosomal RNA (301 nucleotides) under uncultured bacterium. Its description in RNAcentral is "partial 16S ribosomal RNA". It matches the Rfam family "Bacterial small subunit ribosomal RNA", at positions 509 to 807 of the family's 1533-position model. The record is from RNAcentral.